CCUACGGGAGGCAGCAGUGGGGAAUUUUGGACAAUGGGCGAAAGCCUGAUCCAGCAAUGCCGCGUGUGGGAAGAAGGCCUUCGGGUUGUAAACCACUUUUGUACGGAACGAAACGGUCUGCUUUAAUAAAGUGGGCUAAUGACGGUACCGUAAGAAUAAGCACCGGCUAACUACGUGCCAGCAGCCGCGGUAAUACGUAGGGUGCGAGCGUUAAUCGGAAUUACUGGGCGUAAAGCGUGCGCAGGCGGUUAUAUAAGACAGUUGUGAAAUCCCCGGGCUCAACCUGGGAAUUGCAUCUGUGACUGUAUAGCUAGAGUACGGUAGAGGGGGAUGGAAUUCCGCGUGUAGCAGUGAAAUGCGUAGAUAUGCGGAGGAACACCGAUGGCGAAGGCAAUCCCCUGGACCUGUACUGACGCUCAUGCACGAAAGCGUGGGGAGCAAACAGGAUUAGAUACCCUGGUAGUCCACGCCCUAAACGAUGUCAACUGGUUGUUGGGUGCAUUAGUACUCAGUAACGAAGCUAACGCGUGAAGUUGACCGCCUGGGGAGUACGGCCGCAAGGUUGAAACUUAAAUGAAUUGACCGGNGUGNGAGNGCGAGACGACGACGAGGGAGAGG
RNAcentral lists this ribosomal RNA (618 nucleotides) under uncultured bacterium. RNAcentral's name for it is "bacterial SSU rRNA". It matches the Rfam family "Bacterial small subunit ribosomal RNA", at positions 338 to 950 of the family's 1533-position model. The record is from RNAcentral.